AGGUAAGCUACUAAGAGCGAAUGGUGGAUGCCUUGACUGGUAAAGGCGAUGAAGGACGUACUAGACUGCGAUAAGCUACGGGGAGCUGUCAAGAAGCUUUGAUCCGUAGAUUUCCGAAUGGGGCAACCCAAUGUAUAGAGAUAUACAUUACCUAUAUAGGAGCGAACGAGGGGAAUUGAAACAUCUUAGUACCCUCAGGAAAAGAAAUCAAUAGAGAUUGCGUCAGUAGCGGCGAGCGAAAGCGCAAGAGGGCAAACCCAGUGCUUGCACUGGGGGUUGUAGGACUGCAAUGUGCAAGAGGU
RNAcentral lists this ribosomal RNA (302 nucleotides) under Campylobacter coli. RNAcentral's name for it is "partial 23S ribosomal RNA". It matches the Rfam family "Bacterial large subunit ribosomal RNA", at positions 1 to 323 of the family's 2925-position model. RNAcentral also lists the same sequence under 1 other name. Lineage: Bacteria; Pseudomonadati; Campylobacterota; Epsilonproteobacteria; Campylobacterales; Campylobacteraceae. The record is from RNAcentral.